GAUGAACGCUGGCGGCAUGCCUAAUACAUGCAAGUCGAGCGAACAGAUGAGGAGCUUGCUCCUCUGACGUUAGCGGCGGACGGGUGAGUAACACGUGGAUAACCUACCUAUAAGACUGGGAUAACUUCGGGAAACCGGAGCUAAUACCGGAUAAUAUAUUGAACCGCAUGGUUCAAUAGUGAAAGACGGUUUUGCUGUCACUUAUAGAUGGAUCCGCGCCGCAUUAGCUAGUUGGUAAGGUAACGGCUUACCAAGGCAACGAUGCGUAGCCGACCUGAGAGGGUGAUCGGCCACACUGGAACUGAGACACGGUCCAGACUCCUACGGGAGGCAGCAGUAGGGAAUCUUCCGCAAUGGGCGAAAGCUUGACGGAGCAACGCCGCGUGAGUGAUGAAGGUCUUCGGAUCGUAAAACUCUGUUAUUAGGGAAGAACAAAUGUGUAAGUAACUAUGCACGUCUUGACGGUACCUAAUCAGAAAGCCACGGCUAACUACGUG
Molecule: ribosomal RNA, 497 nt
Filed under: uncultured bacterium
Lineage: Bacteria
Description: partial 16S ribosomal RNA
Rfam family: Bacterial small subunit ribosomal RNA
Source: RNAcentral